RNAcentral lists this small RNA (542 nucleotides) under Pongo abelii (Sumatran orangutan). RNAcentral's name for it is "retained intron". Lineage: Eukaryota; Metazoa; Chordata; Mammalia; Primates; Hominidae. The record is from RNAcentral.
AUCACUGUCCCCUCCAGAAAUACACUCGGCUGCAGACUCCCUCCUCCUUCCCCACUCUGGCCGCUCUGAAAGAGGAAGGACAGCGUGAGGCCUGGGCCUCCUUUGACCCUGAGGCCCUUCUGCCCCUCCCGGAGGCCUCCCACCUGCCCAGCUGCCAACUCAAUCGCCGCCUGGCUUGGUCCUGGCUCUGUCUGCUGCCCUCUGCCUUCCACCCAGCCCAGGUUUUACUUGGGGUUCUGGUGGCUUCAUCUCAUAAAGGUUGUCUGCAACUUCGGGACCAAAGUGGUUCCCUGCCCUGCCUGCUCCUGGCCAAGCACUCUCAACCCCUCAGUGACCCACGGCUGAUAGGUUUGGAGUUCAGAUGUGGAAAGAAGAUGGUAGUGGGGUGUUGGUUCUCAUAGCCAGGGGAGCCUGGGAGGAAAAGUCUGCUGGGAUUUACUAGAGAUGCUGAAGUGACACAUGUCAAUCAACAACUUCUGGGAGACUGGUAUGGCAGGCAGAGAACAGGAGCAAGAGGACCCCUAGCGAGAAUUUCCAGCAUG